Molecule: transfer RNA, 65 nt
Filed under: Syndesmis kurakaikina
Lineage: Eukaryota; Metazoa; Platyhelminthes; Rhabdocoela; Umagillidae
Description: tRNA-Ser
Source: RNAcentral
GAGGUUUAAAGUUUGAUUUCUUGCUUCUAACAAGAUAAAGGRAAGGUUACGUUUUCCAAAUCUCU